Molecule: long non-coding RNA, 1027 nt
Filed under: Vulpes vulpes (red fox)
Lineage: Eukaryota; Metazoa; Chordata; Mammalia; Carnivora; Canidae
Description: lncRNA (ENSVVUG00000018542.1)
Source: RNAcentral
UUUUUCCAUCUACAUUUCUACCUUUACUUCUUUUUUUUUAAAUCUCUCAUUCCAGAAUCUCCGUGUGACGUGGUGUGACAUUUUGUUCAACCUAAUUUACAGCUAUGAACCAGAGUUUAAAUGACAUGACCAAGGAUGAGGACUAUGGCAGAAAUUUCACAGCAGCUCUACGAGAAUUAUGUACUGAACACAAGGAUACCCAAAGGGAAAGUGAAACAAUUCUACUGGGUAGAAUUAAGAAAACUUCAGCAAUCCAGAGAGAUGCCUCAAACAUCUGUACUACAAAGGGACCGAUCUGACCUGAGAAAUGACAAUCAGUGAUGAGACACUCAUUGUGAAAGAAUAAUCUGCUGUGUUGGAAUCUCUUGCUCCCCUUCCUGCUUCUCAUUUGAAGAUGAUAAGCGCAGCAUCUGAUGGGAGGCCCGGGGAGGUCUCCACAUACAAGCCAGCUUGCAAAGCAAAAUGGGUAAGAUAACCUGAUGGGCUGUUUAAGCAGGGCUGGAUAAGCAUGGCUGCAUCAUGCCCCUUGCAGUUAGAGAUUUAUGAGAAAGGUGAUUCUGAAAGGUCAAGAUAAUCUCUGCCUGGAUAGGAUGUAAGACUCCAUUUGGCCUUGCAAGUAGUUAGCUGCCCACGUGGUUUGGUUCCGGAGGCUGUGAGGCUGACAUUUGCUGCCCUAAACAACCUGUCAUUCUUUUUUAAGAUUGAGGAAGGUCUUCUGGAGCCCCCUAGGAAAAUAAUGAACCCGAGAAGCAUUACCUCAAACCCUUCUACAUAGUAUGACAUUUUACCAUUUAACUCUUUAGUAAGGAUUAGCAGGGAUAAGACACAAAAUAAUCACUUUAAGACUGGCAGGAAGCCUCCUUAGAGAAACUUCCCUAUUUCAAUUUGGUUGAGGCUUUCUGCCCUUUUCCUGGUGGGGCAAAGCCAGGGACACACAGCACCCUGCAAUCUAAUUUUCGGUGACUCAGCUUUGCAGCCUGAUCUGCCAAAGGGAGCCUGGCUGAGACCCGUUCUUUGUCCCCAGGCC